AGGUACCUACGGGGCGCAGCAGUAGGGAAUCUUUCACAAUGGACGAAAGUCUGAUGGAGCAACGCCGCGUGAGUGAAGAAGGGUUUCGGCUCGUAAAGCUCUGUUGGUAGUGAAGAAAGAUAGAGGUAGUAACUGGCCUUUAUUUGACGGGAAUUACUUAGAAAGUCACGGCUAACUACGUGCCAGCAGCCGCGGUAAUACGUAGGGGGCAAGCGUUUUCCGGAUUUAUUGGG
Molecule: ribosomal RNA, 233 nt
Filed under: uncultured bacterium
Lineage: Bacteria
Description: partial 16S ribosomal RNA
Rfam family: Bacterial small subunit ribosomal RNA
Source: RNAcentral